Corvus hawaiiensis (hawaiian crow) is the source of this 698-nucleotide long non-coding RNA. RefSeq lists it as uncharacterized. Lineage: Eukaryota; Metazoa; Chordata; Aves; Passeriformes; Corvidae. The transcript has 4 exons. The record is from RefSeq and is a predicted model, not a curated record.
UGUGCAGUGGCAGUGUCGGGAGCGCAGGAGCUGCUUUGCCUUUGUGGGCUGUAAUUGCAGAAGCUCAGAGGUAAAAUGGAUCAAGUGGAAAACCUCCACAGGAUGAAGAGGAAGAGGCCAUCUGACAUCCCUGUAGCAGCCCUGCCGUGGCAACCAGCCUGCAAGGAGGAUCCUUCCACAGGAGAGGAAGCUGAACUCAAAGCCCGGUCUCCAUGCAAUACUGCAGGAUCCAACAAGGAAAAAAAGAUUAAGACUCACUGAAUGAUCUGCAGGAAGUUGGAAUUCAUCAUAAAUAACCACCAUCAAAACAGCCCGUCCUGGCCUCCUUCCUUGGGAGGAGAAACUGAACUGACUCUGGGGCAGCAGCAAUCCAUGAAAUUCCCCAGGCUCCUCAGUCCGCCUUGGCCAUGAUUUGACUCUGUGUCAUGAGCCAGGGUCUUGUCCAGAGCACCAGUGCCAAUUGGAGACAUCAGCCUUUCUUCAGGGCUUCAGAGCUGCCUGGAGACAAACCAGAGGUGGGCAAGACAAACCUUGGUGGUGGCUGGAGCACUUGGACCUUGUCUCUAAAAUUGGGUGAUGGCUUGGACAGCAAUAAGAGAACAAACUUUUAUUUUUCAGGGCAUUUUGCUGAAUUUUUCUCAAUCACAGCCUGGUCCUAUGAAGAUUCAGCACUCUUAAAACUGGCCUUGCUUGGCACA